CCGGCGUGAGUGAUGAAGGCCUUCGGGUUGUAAAGCUCUGUGGGGAGAGAAGAAUAAGUGCGGGCUAAUACUCCGCAUGAUGACGGUAUCUCCUUAGCAAGCACCGGCUAACUCUGUGCCAGCAGCCGCGGUAAGACAGAGGGUGCAAACGUUGUUCGGAAUUACUGGGCGUAAAGCGAGUGUAGGCGGUUUGGAUAGUCGGAUGUGAAAGCCCCGGGCUCAACCCGGGAAGUGCAUUCGAUACUCCCAAGCUAGAGUAUCGGAGAGGUUGGUGGAAUUCUCGGUGUAGAGGUGAAAUUCGUAGAUAUCGAGGGGAACACCGGUGGCGAAGGCGGCCAACUGGACGAAUACUGGCGCUGAGACUCGAAAGCGUGGGGAGCAAACAGGAUUAGAUACCCUGGUAGUCCACGCCGUAAACGAUGGGUGCUAGGUGUCGCGGGCUUUGACUCCUGCGGUGCCGCAGCUAACGCAUUAAGCACCCCGCCUGGGAAGUACGGCCGCAAGGCUA
Molecule: ribosomal RNA, 508 nt
Filed under: uncultured Pseudomonadota bacterium
Lineage: Bacteria; Pseudomonadati; Pseudomonadota
Description: bacterial SSU rRNA
Rfam family: Bacterial small subunit ribosomal RNA
Source: RNAcentral